This is a long non-coding RNA of Oncorhynchus tshawytscha (Chinook salmon), 669 nucleotides long. The record is from Ensembl. Lineage: Eukaryota; Metazoa; Chordata; Actinopteri; Salmoniformes; Salmonidae.
GUGGGAUCCACUAGUGGUUCUGGGGGGGUAGUGCUUUUGUGACAACAAUUUUGUGCCACCCCCCUAAAUGUGGAGUUUGAAAUUAUUUUUACAUAACUAAUUUUUGCUAUCAUUCUUUUUUUUACAUCCAUUAUUAGACAGUGGCAGAUGAUGAUUAAUGAACAUGGUGUUCCUGCAAUGCAGUGAAUAAAACGAUAUGACAACGUCUAAUGUAGCUGGCCCCUCUAACAGUACAACUGGCCCAGCUUGGCCCCCCCAGUUGAAAUGGUCUAGAACCACCACUAGUAGGAUCUUCCACAGCCCAGAGGUGCAGAAAUCGUACUGCCAGAGGAGUUGGGGAGAUCAGAAUGGGCAUUCUGUUUCAUGUUGGUAUUGUCAAGUGCUAGCCCGUCUCCAGAUCCAACCUGACACCAGGGUUGUGUUCAUUGGGCACCAAAUGGAAGAACAUCAACUGAAAUGCGAAGAGAGAGAGAGGAGGAGGAGGAUGAGAGGAAGAGGAGGAGAGCACUGAAGACGUCUGCUUACAAAUUUUUGUUACCCACGGUCUUCAAAAAUGGUUGGAUACAGACAUUGAUAAUGUGAGUAUAAGGAUAUUCUUUAUAUAAGGAUAUUCUUAAUUCACAAUACUGAACAUUAUAUACAAGCAUAGCAUCUGAACAGAAAUAUUCC